UCACUGUAUUUGAUUUUCUUGUGUAAAAGUUUAUCUCUUCUUUGCUGCAAAGCAGAAACAAUUAUGUCAGGGUGGGAAUCUUACUACAAAACCGAGGGUGAUGAAGAGGAGGAAGAACAAGAGGAAAGCCCGGAAGCAGGUGGAGAACAUAAAUAUUCAGGAAGAGAUAGUUUGAUUUUUUUGGUUGAUGCCUCCAGGGCCAUGUUUGAAUCUCAGGGUGAAGAUGAAUUGACUCCUUUUGAUAUGGUUUUC
RNAcentral lists this long non-coding RNA (252 nucleotides) under Marmota monax (woodchuck). The record is from RNAcentral. Lineage: Eukaryota; Metazoa; Chordata; Mammalia; Rodentia; Sciuridae.